RNAcentral lists this ribosomal RNA (497 nucleotides) under uncultured bacterium. Its description in RNAcentral is "partial 16S ribosomal RNA". It matches the Rfam family "Bacterial small subunit ribosomal RNA", at positions 28 to 507 of the family's 1533-position model. The record is from RNAcentral.
GAUGAACGCUGGCGGCGUGCCUAAUACAUGCAAGUCGAGCGAACGGACGAGAAGCUUGCUUCUCUGAUGUUAGCGGCGGACGGGUGAGUAACACGUUGAUAACCUACCUAUAAGACUGGGAUAACUUCGGGAAACCGGAGCUAAUACCGGAUGAUAUUUUGAACCGCAUGGUUCAAACGUGAAAGACGGUCUUGCUGUCACUUAUAGAUGGAUCCGCGCUGCAUUAGCUAGUUGGUAAGGUAAAGGCUUACCAAGGAAACGAUGCAUAGCCGACCGGAGAGGGUGAUCGGCCACACUGGAACUGAGACACGGUCCAGACGCCUACGGGAGGCAGCAGGAGGGAAUCUUCCGCAAUGGGCGAAAGCCUGACGGAGCAACGCCGCGUGAGUGAUGAAGGUCUUCGGAUCGUAAAACUCUGGUAUUAGGGAAGAACAUAUGUGUAAGUAACUGUGCACAUCUUGACGGUACCUAAUCAGAAAGCCACGGCUAACUACGUG